GAUGAAGAACGUAGCGAAAUGCGAUAAGUAAUGUGAAUUACAGAAUUCAGUGAAUCAUCGAAUCUUUGAACGCACAUUGCGCCCGCCAGUAUUCUGGCGGGCAUGCCUGUUCGAGCGUCAUUACAACCCUCAGGCCCCCGGGCCUGGCGUUGGGGAUCGGCGGAAGCCCCCUGCGGGCACAACGCCGUCCCCCAAAUACAGUGGCGGUCCCGCCGCAGCUUCCAUUGCGUAGUAGCUAACACCCCGCAACUGGAGAGCGGCGCGGCCACGCCGUAAAACACCCAACUUCUGAAUGUUGACCUCGAAUCAGGUAGGAAUACCCGCUGAACUUAAGCAUAUCAAUAAGCGGAGGA
Molecule: unclassified non-coding RNA, 353 nt
Filed under: soil metagenome
Description: partial contains 5.8S ribosomal RNA, internal transcribed spacer 2, and large subunit ribosomal RNA
Rfam family: 5.8S ribosomal RNA (bases 1-120)
Source: RNAcentral